CAAGUUUGUUUACCAUCAAAUUGGCUGCAUAAAGGUGAAAAUCUUGCAGUAUAAUGUACCUUUAAUAUGCACACCCCUCAUUCAUACAUGUUCUUGGUAGUUGCCCCACCUGUGCAUCUCUUGCCCCCAUGCUGUAGUAGUAAUUGCCCCACCUGUGCCCCUCUUGCCCCCAUGCUGUAGUAGUAAUUGCCCCAUCUGAGCCCCUCUUGCCCCCAUGCUGUUGUAGUAAUUGCCCCAUCUGUGCCUCUAUUGCCCCCAUGCUACUGCUCCAUGCCUACUAGCAUUUUGGUGGUCAGUGGGAAGCGCUGAUUGGUUGGUUCAGGAUUCUCUGAACUAUGCAGCCCUGAACUUCUCUGGCAAGAAGAGGAAGAGCAACUCCAACCUCCAGACCAACAACCCACACGUCACAAACGCUGCCACUAGA
Long non-coding RNA from Alosa sapidissima (American shad), 424 nucleotides. RefSeq lists it as uncharacterized. The transcript is spliced from 2 exons. The record is from RefSeq and is a predicted model, not a curated record. Lineage: Eukaryota; Metazoa; Chordata; Actinopteri; Clupeiformes; Clupeidae.